Molecule: ribosomal RNA, 576 nt
Filed under: Verrucomicrobiota bacterium
Lineage: Bacteria; Pseudomonadati; Verrucomicrobiota
Description: bacterial SSU rRNA
Rfam family: Bacterial small subunit ribosomal RNA
Source: RNAcentral
UUAACGGAGAGUUUGAUUCUGGCUCAGAACGAACGCUGGCGGCGUGGAUAAGACAUGCAAGUCGGACGGGAUUACUUUUGGUAGCAAUACCGAAAGUGAUUCAGUGGCGAACGGGUGCGUAACACGUGGGCAAUCUACCGAGAAGUGGGGGAUAGCUCGCCGAAAGGCGAAUUAAUACCGCAUGUGAUCAGAGGCGACAUCGCUUCGAAAUCAAAGGUGGCGCAAGCUACCGCUUUUUGAGGAGCCCGCGGCCUAUCAGCUUGUUGGUGAGGUAACGGCUCACCAAGGCGUUGACGGGUAGCUGGUCUGAGAGGACGACCAGUCACACUGGGACUGAGACACGGCCCAGACACCUACGGGUGGCAGCAGUCGAGAAUUUUUCUCAAUGGGGGAAACCCUGAAGGAGCGACGCCGCGUGGAGGAUGAAGGUCUUCGGGUUGUAAACUCCUGUCAUUUGGGAACAAGGCUGUGCGGUUAACUGCCGCGCAGUUGAUAGUACCAGAAGAGGAAGAGACGGCUAACUCUGUGCCAGCAGCCGCGGUAAUACAGAGGUCUCAAGCGUUGUUCGGAUUCAUU